AACACUUGUGUGUAUUUUUGUUUGAUUUGGAGACAGACUCACAUAAAAUGGCAACAAGUGAAUCACUUUUUGCAACUCAGAACUCAUUUUUCUGUAUGAGUAUUGAUACAUAAGAAGGACUAUG
Molecule: small nucleolar RNA, 124 nt
Organism: Jaculus jaculus (lesser Egyptian jerboa)
Lineage: Eukaryota; Metazoa; Chordata; Mammalia; Rodentia; Dipodidae
Product: small nucleolar RNA SNORA40
Exons: 1
Source: RefSeq, a predicted model, not a curated record